RNAcentral lists this ribosomal RNA (253 nucleotides) under uncultured bacterium. RNAcentral's name for it is "partial 16S ribosomal RNA". It matches the Rfam family "Bacterial small subunit ribosomal RNA", at positions 524 to 776 of the family's 1533-position model. The record is from RNAcentral.
UACAGAGGUCCCAAGCGUUGUUCGGAUUCAUUGGGCGUAAAGGGUGCGUAGGCGGCGCGGUAAGUCGGGUGUGAAAUCUCGGAGCUUAACUCCGAAACUGCAUUCGAUACUGCCGUGCUUGAGGACUGGAGAGGAGACUGGAAUUUACGGUGUAGCGGUGAAAUGCGUAGAUAUCGUAAGGAAGACCAGUGGCGAAGGCGGGUCUCUGGACGGUUCCUGACGCUGAGGCACGAAGGCCAGGGGAGCAAACGGG